AGAGGCAAGUUUUACGCACCCACAUCAGUUCCCAUUCAUAAGUUUAAUAUAAUUAGCUUACAAUGGGUUUUAACUUUUAAGCACCAUACUCUUUCACAUUUAUAAGCUUAUUAUGACUAGCUUAACCGAGGCAUUUGUAUAGAUAAUCCAGAACCAAGUAUCAUUAUGCACCACACUCUUUCCCAUUCCCAAGCUUACUAAGAUUAGCUUUACAAUGGGUUUUGACUGAGACAUAUUCCCUACCACUCAUAAACCUGAAUGAGCUUAUAAAAAGUUCGGUACUAAGUAUCAUGCACCACCAAUCUACCCUUGUUUCAUUAAUAAGCUUGAAAAUAUGGAUUUGUUAACCGGACAGAGGCAUUUUUCUAGACACUUGGAACAGAGUAUCAUGCAUCUUUUCCCCAUUCAUUAGCUCUUAUUGUCCUCUUGAUGAGCUGGGGC
Molecule: long non-coding RNA, 441 nt
Filed under: Capsella rubella
Lineage: Eukaryota; Viridiplantae; Streptophyta; Magnoliopsida; Brassicales; Brassicaceae
Description: long non-coding RNA (CRUB_LNC004785)
Source: RNAcentral